AUUGAACGCUGGCGGCAUGCCUUACACAUGCAAGUUGAACGGUAACAGGUCUUCGGAUGCUGACGAGUGGCGAACGGGUGAGUAAUACAUCGGAACGUGCCUAGUAGUGGGGGAUAACUACUCGAAAGAGUGGCUAAUACCGCAUGAGAUCUACGGAUGAAAGCAGGGGAUCGCAAGACCUUGUGCUACUAGAGCGGCCGAUGGCAGAUUAGGUAGUUGGUGGGAUAAAGGCUUACCAAGCCGACGAUCUGUAGCUGGUCUGAGAGGACGAUCAGCCACACUGGGACUGAGACACGGCCCAGACUCCUACGGGAGGCAGCAGUGGGGAAUUUUGGACAAUGGGCGAAAGCCUGAUCCAGCAAUGCCGCGUGCAGGAUGAAGGCCUUCGGGUUGUAAACUGCUUUUGUACGGAACGAAAAGCCCCGGGUUAAUACCCGGGGGUCAUGACGGUACCGUAAGAAUAAGCACCGGCUAACUACGUGCCAGCCGCCGCCGAA
Molecule: ribosomal RNA, 497 nt
Filed under: uncultured bacterium
Lineage: Bacteria
Description: partial 16S ribosomal RNA
Rfam family: Bacterial small subunit ribosomal RNA
Source: RNAcentral